GUUUUGCUCAGUGGAUAGAACAUCAGCCUGUAAACUGAAGGGUUCCGGGUUCGAUUCUGGUCAAGAACA
Cnephaeus nilssonii (northern bat) is the source of this 69-nucleotide non-coding RNA. The record is from the annotation of a GenBank genome assembly. NCBI's taxonomy places the organism in Eukaryota, Metazoa, Chordata, Mammalia, Chiroptera, Vespertilionidae.